RNA transcript from Cyprinus carpio (common carp), 1094 nucleotides. RefSeq lists it as uncharacterized. NCBI's taxonomy places the organism in Eukaryota, Metazoa, Chordata, Actinopteri, Cypriniformes, Cyprinidae. The transcript is spliced from 5 exons. The record is from RefSeq and is a predicted model, not a curated record.
GAAUAUUCUUAGGUUGUCAAAAGGCAGCUGUUAAAAUCAUAUCUUAAGCUGUUUCACACUCUGAUCAUCAGGUUGUUCUCUGGAGCUCAGUGGUUCUUGGUGGUGUCCCACUCUCACGUAACCACUUCCCCUCGUUUUUGUCUGCUGACUCUCUCAGUUCAAUCAUAAAAACUUGAAAUGCUGAAGAAAGAGUAAGAGGUUCAUUUCUACCUUCUGCCAUGGAGAUUUUUCAAACCAGGAUCCUGCAUCUGAAUUUGUGUGUGAUGAUUACUUUACUGACCAAUGCAGAUUAUUCCAAAUCUAAUCAAGAGCAAAGGAUUCAGCAGCACAUCAACAAGACAGUGUUUGUGGGGGAAACAGUUACACUUCACUGCAACAAAACCGAGUUUGAUGAGGAUUUCAUAUGGAAAAUGAACAAUUCUUUUAUUUUUAGUCUUGACUAUUACAGUAACAGAACAAUGAGAAACUUCAGCUCAAACAGGAUUCACAUCGACUCCACAGCUCCAAGAGAAUUAACAAUACAUCAAAUACAAGCGUCUGAUGCAGGAAACUACACCUGUUACCCAGCAGCAAUAAGAUGGACAUUAACAACAACAGCCAGUGACUAGUAUCUAGUGGAGUACUGGUGGACUGAUGUGUGUUUGACUGUGGUAUCUGUCAGAAAACCAGAUCAGACCAAAGUCACCCAAAGAAAUGCCGCUGCACAUAAUUAUCAUCAUCAUCUCAUGUUGUGGAGUCAUUGUGAUCUGUCUGAUCAUCACCAUCAGCAUCUGCAUUCACAGGAGAUGGAAAAACAGCAAAGAUUCAAGUCAGAGAGAAGCAGGACAGGACUUUUCCCAGGCACCAGUCAGAGGAAGGAUUCAGACUCACAACAGUCAGUACUUUGAGAGAUACAACUCAGUAUAUGGACAAAUAUGAUGUAAUUUAUUAUUAGGCUAACUCUUUACAAUAACAGUACAUGAAUAAUCAUACUAAUACAAAUAUUAAAUGUAACUUUAAAGGGGUCCUAUUAUGCUAUUUCACUUUUUCAACUUUAGUUAGUCUGUAAUGUUGCUGUUUGAGCAUAAAAAUAUCUCCAAAGUUACAAAGCUCAA